Molecule: RNA transcript, 222 nt
Organism: Fukomys damarensis (Damara mole-rat)
Lineage: Eukaryota; Metazoa; Chordata; Mammalia; Rodentia; Bathyergidae
Gene name: Xg glycoprotein (Xg blood group)
Exons: 4
Source: RefSeq, a predicted model, not a curated record
CCACAGAACCCACGAAGAGGCCGAGCUCAGAUGGGCAACCCCGGCCGAAGCCGCCGCCGUUUCACCCACAGCCCGGGAACCCCGGCCAUGGUGGAAGCAUCUACCCACGGAUAAAGCCGCAGCCGCCCCGGCAGCCCGGAGACGAGGACACCCACGGCGGUGGAGGACACUGGAACAACGCGGACGAAGGGUACCAGCCGCCCCGGCCCAAGCCGCCUGCAG